CAGCAGCCGCGGUAAUACGUAGGUCCCGAGCGUUGUCCGGAUUUAUUGGGCGUAAAGCGAGCGCAGGCGGUUUGAUAAGUCUGAAGUUAAAGGCUGUGGCUCAACCAUAGUUCGCUUUGGAGACUGUCAAACUUGAGUGCAGAAGGGGAGAGUGGAAUUCCAUGUGUAGCGGUGAAAUGCGUAGAUAUAUGGAGGAACACCGGUGGCGAAAGCGGCUCUCUGGUCUGUGACUGACGCUGAGGCUCGAAAGCGUGGGGAGCGAACAGGAUUAGAUACCCCAGUAGUCCCUGUCUCUUAUACA
RNAcentral lists this ribosomal RNA (301 nucleotides) under uncultured bacterium. RNAcentral's name for it is "partial 16S ribosomal RNA". It matches the Rfam family "Bacterial small subunit ribosomal RNA", at positions 509 to 808 of the family's 1533-position model. The record is from RNAcentral.